Molecule: long non-coding RNA, 4446 nt
Organism: Chinchilla lanigera (long-tailed chinchilla)
Lineage: Eukaryota; Metazoa; Chordata; Mammalia; Rodentia; Chinchillidae
Source: Ensembl
CAGUGCUGAAUAUAACAUAUAAUAUAAAAAUUAGAGUUAAAAGGCUAACUUUCCAUGCAGUGGCUAAAGGGAAAUUCUAAAGACUCCAAAUCAGUUUAUUUUCCAAUCUUUUCAUUUAAGUAAGAUUAGAAGCCAGAACUUUUAAGUCACUCACGAUGGUAAACCUCAGAGUGCCUUUCCCAUUCAGUGUUUUUCUUCUUUUUCUCCCAUAGGUUGAUCAUUCAUAGAAGAGCUGCUAUAACCACAUAGAGGAGGUGAAGACGUAACAUAAAGGUUUUGCCAUGCACUGAAAGAAAAGCAUUGUCUGUGAAGUUCUAUUUUUAAAAAUGUCUGCUUGUAACACCUUUACUGAACACGUUUGGAAACCGGGUGAAUGCAAGAAUUGCUUUAAGCCUAAAAGCUUACAUCAGCUCCCCCCAGACUCCGAGAAGGCAUCCACCACCCAUGGCAAUGUGAAAACGAAUGCCAAUCACAGUAACAACCACCGCAUCAGGAACACCGGAAAUUUCCGGCCUCCUGUGGCCAAAAAACCUACCAUAGCUGUGAAGCCCACUAUGAUGGUGGCAGAUGGGCAAAGUGUAUGUGGUGAGCUUAGCAUCCAAGAACACUGUGAGAACAAACCUGUCAUCAUGGGGUGGAACCGAAACAGAGCUGCUUUGAGUCAGAAACCACUUAACAAUAAUAAUGAAAAUGAUAUUGAAGGAUUUAGCCAUGUUCCUAAGCCUUAUGACAAUAAUGAUAGCGCAAAGAAGGUAUCAAAUAAUAAUAAUGGACUAACUGAAGUGUUAAAGGAGAUAGCAGGCCUGGAUACCACCCCUCAGAUAGGAGGAAAUGAAACAAACUCCAGAGAAACCUUCUUAGGAAGAAUAAAUGAUUGCUACAAACGCUCACUGGAAAGAAAGCUCCCACCAAGCUGUAUGAUGGGUGGGAUAAAGGACUCUCAGGGCAAGCAUGUCAUUCUGAGUGGGAGCACGGAAGUCAUCAGCAAUGAAGGAGGCCGCUUCUGCUACCCAGAGUUCUCUAGUGGUGAGGAAAGUGAGGAAGACGUUCUUUUCAGCAACAUGGAGGGGGAGCAUGAGAGCUGGGAUGAGAGUGAUGAGGAGCUGCUGGCCAUGGAGAUCCGCAUGAGAGGGCAGCCUCGCUUUGCUAACUUCAGGGCAAACACUUUGUCUCCUGUGCGAUUCUUUGUGGACAAAAAAUGGAAUACCAUCCCCCUACGAAAUAAGUCACUGCAGAGAAUUUGUGCCGUGGACUAUGAUGACAGCUAUGAUGAGAUUCUGAAUGGAUACAAUGAAAAUUCUGCAGUCUCCUGUGGACAAGGAAGCGUUCAGAGCAUGGUGUCCUCGGACUCCACAUCACCUGAUUCUUCUUUAACAGAAGAAUCACGUUCUGAGACAGCUAGUAGUUUAUCCCAGAAAAUUUGUAAUGCAGGGGUGUCUCCUGGUAACCCUGGAGAGUCUGAGGACAUAAAGGAAAAUUAUGAAAGUCUCUCUGGUAGUAAUCAGGAAAAGGACUUGCCACAGGCCUCCAAAAGCUCUGUAAAAGUACCAGAGACACACAAAGCAGUCCUUGCUCUUCGAUUAGAAGAGAAGGAUGGCAAGAUUGCUGUACAAACUGAGAAGCAAGAAAGCAAAGCCUCUACAGAUAUUGCUGGGCAAGCAGUCACCAUAAACCUCGUCCCUGUAGAAGAGCAAGCGAAGCCCUACCGAGUUGUAAAUCUGGAACAGCCAUUGUGCAAGCCAUAUACUGUUGUGGAUGUGUCAGCAGCCAUGGCCAGUGAGCACCUUGAGAGUGCUGUCAGCAGCCCUAAGACCAAAAGCUCAUCCUCCACUCCAAACUCUCCAGUAACGUCACCUGCAUUGACACCAGGACAAAUAAGCGCCCAUUUCCAAAAAUCCAGUGCAAUCCGAUACCAGGAAGUGUGGACUUCCAGCACCAGUCCACGACAAAAGAUUCCUAAAGUGGAAUUAAUUACUGGCGGAAGUGGACUAAAUGUCCCUCCAAGGAAAAACUGUCACAAAUCAGCACCAACUUCACCCACAGCUACAAACAUAUCCUCCAAAACUAUCCCUGUUAAGUCGCCCAAUUUGUCUGAAAUAAAAUUUAACAGUUACAACAAUGCUGGUAUGCCACCUUUUCCAAUUAUCAUUCAUGAUGAGCCAACUUAUGCCCGGAGUUCCAAAAAUGCUAUUAAAGUUCCCAUUGUUAUUAAUCCAAAUGCCUAUGACAAUCUAGCCAUCUACAGAAGUUUUCUGGGAACCAGUGGAGAACUCUCGGUGAAGGAAAAAACCACAAGUGUAAUAAGCCAUACUUACGAAGAAAUAGAGACUGAAAGCCAAGCGUCUGAUAACACCACUAGCAAACCCACUGAAAGUCCCCAGGCUAAAGGGUUUUCAAACAGUGCAGAGCGCAAAAAGGGCUCAGUGGCUCAGAAGGUUCAGGAGUUUAACAGCUGUCUCAACAGAGGUCAGGCUUCGCCACAGAGAAACUAUAGUUCCAGCCACAGCUCCCCAGCCAAAAUCCAGAGAACCACUCAAGAGCCUGUGUCCAAAACAGAAGGCACACAGGAGUCUCAAAUGCCAGGCAGCACUGGCAGCACCAGGGAGAAGGCAAGCACCGUGCUCUCACAGAUUGUAGCUUCUAUCCAGCCCCCCCAGUCUCCUCCAGAAACACCCCAGUCUGGCCCUAAGGCUUGCAGUGUGGAAGAGCUUUAUGCCAUCCCUCCCGAUGCGAAUGCUGUCAAGAACAUACCUAAGAGCACAGCAGUCCGGCCCAAGUCUCUCUUUACAUCUCAGCCUGGAGUUGAGGCCGAAGCACCACAGACCACAGAAAGUCCCAGCACCAAAGUUCAGAAAGACCUAUUUGCAAAGCCUGUCGCCUCUCCUACAUCCAAAUUAGUGACCAGCCCCCAAAGUGAGCCACCGCCUCCCUUCCCCCCACCACGGUCCACUUCCUCCCCUUACCAUGCAAGUAACCUUCUGCAGAGGCAUUUCACCAACUGGACCAAGCCAACUAGCCCCACCAGAUCCACAGAAGCUGAAUCUGUUUUGCACUCCGAAGGCAGCAGGCGGGCAGCAGAGGCAAAGCCUAAACGCUGGAUAUCAUUUAAAAGUUUCUUCCGCCGCCGGAAAACAGAUGAGGAGGAUGACAAAGAGAAAGAGCGAGAGAAAGGAAAACUGGUGGGCCUGGAUGGCACGGUCAUCCACAUGCUUCCUCCUCCUCCCGUUCAGCGCCAUCAUUGGUUUACAGAGGCAAAAGGAGAGUCUAGUGAGAAGCCAUCCAUUGUCUUCAUGUACAGGUGUGACCCUGCCCAAGGCCAGCUCAGCGUGGAACAAAGCAAGGUCGGGGCUGAGCAGACUGCAGGCACAGAGAAGGAUAGAACAGAGGGUGUGUCGCUGCAGGACUCAGAGAAGAAGAAAAAUAGUCAUUCUUCUCCAUCACAGAUUCCUGAAAAAGUUCCCAGUCAUGUGACCCAUGAAUUGGUGGAGAAGUUUUCUCCUCGGGAUCCAAGACCUCUUGCAAAGCAAGAUGAUGGGGGCUGCACCUCUAUAUCACCAGCACUGCCACCACCUGACUCGGAAAAAGAAGAGGAAAAAGAAGAUAUGUCAGAGCCUAUGGACCCAAACCCCUGUAGUGCAACAUAUAGCAAUUUAGGGCAAUCCAGAGCAGCAAUGAUACCCCCCAAGCAUCCACGGCAGCCCAAGGGAGCUCUGGACGAUGCCAUCGCCUUUGGAGGGAAAACAGACCAAGAAGUACCGAAUGUUUCCCAACCCACGCCACCCCCACUGCCAAAGAAAAUGAUCAUAAGAGCCAAUACAGAGCCAAUCUCCAAAGACCUCCAGAAAUCCAUGGAAAGUAGCCUUUGUGUCAUGGCUAAUCCUACCUAUGAUAUUGAUCCUAACUGGGACGCCAGCAGUGCUGGCUCUUCCAUUAGCUAUGAGCUCAAAGGACUAGACAUUGAGUCCUGUGACUCCUUGGAGAGACCUCUGCACAAGGAGAGACCUGUCCCUUCUGCUGCAAACAGCAUCUCCAGUUUAACCACUCUCAGUAUUAAGGACAGGUUUUCUAACAGCAUGGAGUCCCUGACCAGCCGACGUGGUCCCUCUUGCAGACAGGGCCGAAGCAUUCAGAAGCCACAGAGACAAGCACUUUAUCGAGGACUUGAAAAUCGGGAGGAAGUAGUGGGUAAAAUCCGAAGCCUUCAUACAGAUGCCUUGAAGAAACUGGCUGUUAAAUGUGAAGACCUCUUCAUGGCCGGACAGAAAGACCAGCUCCGCUUUGGGGUCGACAGCUGGUCAGACUUUAGGCUAACCAGCGACAAACCAUGUUGUGAAGCAGGUGAUGCAGUUUACUACACUGCUUCGUAUGCAAAAGAUCCACUUAAUAACUAUGCAGUCAAGGCUGCUGGUUGGGAGUGAUCCAUUUCCUGGCUGCCUACAUGGUAAC